GUUUGUAGUGUAGUGGUGAUCACGCCGGAUUUUGACGCACAGUACAAAUCUUCCGGUGACCCCGGUUCGAAUCCGGGCAAGACCU
Non-coding RNA from Bacidia gigantensis, 85 nucleotides. Lineage: Eukaryota; Fungi; Ascomycota; Lecanoromycetes; Lecanorales; Ramalinaceae. The record is from the annotation of a RefSeq genome assembly.